This 3894-nucleotide long non-coding RNA is filed under the name Nicotiana benthamiana. Its description in RNAcentral is "long non-coding RNA (NBEN_LNC017247)". Lineage: Eukaryota; Viridiplantae; Streptophyta; Magnoliopsida; Solanales; Solanaceae. The record is from RNAcentral.
CUCUAUCAAAAGCUGAAAUAGCAAAUACAGGCAGAUAAUAGUACAAGUUUAAAUUAGCAAAAGAGUCCAAACUGCAUCCAUUCUUGGCUAAGGCGUCCGCUAUCCCAUUUGCUUCUCUGAAUGCAUGUUUCAAUGAUGGCGAUCACACCUCAGAUAAUAGGAGCCUGCAAUCAUUAAUAAUAUUUCGAUAAAACAUAUUUUCAUUAUUAAUCAGGUUAAUAAGAUCCUGACAGUCUAUUUCAAUGACUAGAGGGGUUAGUCAUUUUUGAAUGGCUAGUUGUAGGCCUGUAAUAGGGACAUGGCUUCCAUUUGAAUAUUUGUUGCAUUGGCAAAUCCCUUACUAAAAUCUAGUAUCCAUUUUCCGUUGCUGUCUCUGAAACCCACCCCACCCCCACCCCCCUCCUAGGCUAACUAGGCAUGAUCCGUCAAUGUUUAGUUUGUAGGUCCCUAGGUCCGGUGGGUCCUAUUUAAUGAGGAUUGUUCUUUCUGAUGAUCUAGCAGGACUUCAAUUGCUAAGGAAUAGGAAUUUCUGGGUGCUAUUAAUCACUUUGUUAAUGUUGGGAUAUGGGCUACUUUUGUAAAAAAUCUUUCAUUUCUAGUGGCCCAUAAAUACCAAAGGAGGAAAGGUAAGAGGAUGGGCCAAGUGAUGUAUUGAUUAUAGCGCUUGUUUGCUUUUAGUUGGUGCUUUAGACAAUGGAAGGUAGACAAACCGUUAUCCAAAGAAGGGUAAUUGUGUUUUAUGUGAUAUUGCCUCCAUAUUUCCUUUGAGUAAGAGCAUGUGUUUUAUGCCCUCCUUUUCAGUUCCACAUAUGAUACAAAUGUUUGAUGUGCAUAUAUUACGUUUUGCUAGAAAGGUUGUUGUUGGGAGUCUAUCGAGGGUAAGCAACCACAUGAAGUAUUUUAGUUUGUUAAGGGUCUUGCAUUUCUAAAUCUAUUUAUAAUCGAGGUUAUUUUCCUCAGUCUGCAUUUCUAAAUCCACUUAUAAUCGAGGUUAUUUUCCUCAGUAUGAGUAUCCUGGAGAGUAGCAAGAUCAUAGGUUUCCUUGACUGAGAAAGAAUUAUGGCCCGGUGUGUUCCAGAAUAUCUUAUCUCUUUCUGGUUGGGAUUGUGGUAUAUAAGUGCUAUGGAUUUUGAGGAUUAUGUCUUCAGGAAAUUCGAAGGAAAGUAUUGAUAGAUUAAAAAAGCCAUGUUGGAUGUUCGAGCUUACUUUCAUGUCUUCUUCUCCUCUUUGGAUAGGCCCAUGGAUACUACUCCUUAGAGUGUUUCCAUGGUUUAUCCAACGGUUGUUCCAAAGAUUUAUGUUUUUCCCAUUACCAGUAAUCCAAUUAAUCCCUUUCUGGAAAAUCUUGUGUCCUUUAUGAAUGUUUUUCCAGAAAUAUGAGGACCCAGGAUUAGGGAUUAAUCUGUUAUUGUGAUUAGAAUUCCUAUCAUAUUUGUUGUGUAGGACCUUAACCCAAAGGGCUUCUUUGUUGUUUGAUUAUCUCCAGGCAAGACUGGUGCUGAAGGCCUUAUUUUUAUAACUGGUUUUAUAGAGUCCUAGGCCUCCUUGAUUCUUUGAGAAGUGACUUUAUUCCAAUUGAGUAGGUGACACUUUCUUUUUUCCUCCGUGCUACCCCAUAGAAAAUUUCGUUGGAUGAAAUCUAUCUUAUUUAGGGUAGCUUGGUAGAUCAAAACUUUGCAUGUUGUGAUUGGGAAUGGCUGCAAGGGUUGCUUUAAUGAGGGUUGUUCUUCCUGCUAGGUUCAGGAAGCGGCUUUUUCAUCCUUUUAGUUGUUGUUUAGAUUAUCGAUAAUAAAUUGAAAGUCCUUUUUGGAUAGCCUCUCGUUUGCUAUGGGGAAGCCCAGGUAUUUUUCUACUAAGUUUGAUAUUUUCAUGUUUAAACAUCUACUGAGUAGAGAUUGUUUAUUUGGGUGAGUAUUUUUUUGAAAAGAUAAUUCUAGAUUUGCUGAAAUUGAUGGAUUGACCAGAGAACUCACAUAAUUUAUUCAGAGUAACUAUGAGAGAGUCGCAACUCUUUUGAUUGGCCUCCAUCAUAAGAAUGAGAUCGUCUUUAAAGAAUAGGUGAGAUUGGGGGCCCUUUUUUGAUAAGGUUAUAGAGUCUCAUCUACAACAAUCUACUUCAUGGUCAAUGAGUCUAGAAAGCAUUUUCAUGCAUAUUAUGAAUAAGUACGGGUAGAUGGGGUCUCCUUGCCUAAUGCCUCUAGUAAGGGUAAAAAAUUAUAUGCUUGAACCAUUUAUGAGAAUGGAGGUGGAUGUGGAAGGUACACGGGACAUAAUAAGCUCCAUUGGUUUUUCUGGGAAGUUAAGAAAUUUUAAGGAGAAUCUAAUGAAAGACCACUCAAGUUUUUCGAAGGCCUUUUCUAAGUCAAUUUUGAUCAUGAUUUUUCCUUUAUUCCCUUUGGCAUUUAUGAAAAAAAAAAAUUGGACUUCAUGCACUAUAAUGGCAUUGUCAGAGGCUCUCCUGCCCUUUACAAAGUUCGUUUGAGAAGGGUGAAUAAUAUUGUUGAGCAAAUGCUUUAUUCUAUUAAUUAUAUUUUUUAUGACUACCUUAUAGGCAGUAUUACAGAGGCUAAUGGGUCUAUAUUGCCUUAAGGUUUCAACAUUCUGGUGCUUUAGAAAUAAACAAACAUAUGUUCUGUUCACGCAUUCAAUCAUUUUCCUCUUAGUGAAGGACUCUUUACAGAAAUUGACCAAAAGGUUAUUGGUAAUUCCCCAAAAUUUUUGGUAGAAGAAGGAAUGGAUGUCAUCCGGCCCUGGUGCUUUUAGUGGUUUAAAAGAGAAGAGGUCAUUAUUUUCUUCCAUCAGGCUCUCUAAUGAGGGAGAGAUUGUCAUUUAGAGUGGCUGAGGAUAAAGCAGGCAUGAAAGUCAGAUUUUUUUUGGAGGAAGUAUGAUUAGUGGUAUAAAGAUUUUUAUAGAAAUUAGUUAUGAUAUGGCCAAGUUCCUUUGGAUUGUGGAACCAAUUUCCAGCUUUGUCUCUAAUGCUAAAGAUCCUAUUUUUCCUUCUUCUUUGCAGUGUCGUGAGGUGGAAGAAUUUAGUGUUUGUAUCACCAUCCUGGAUCCACUAGAUCAUUGAUUUCAGCUUCCAGAAUUCCUCUUCUAGUUUGAGAAUUUUUUGUAGUUCUUCUAAAAGCUCCUCUUCUGAAUUAGCCAAAAAAGAUGCUAGUAGUGUACUUAGGAUAUUUUUGGAUGUCUUCUAGUCUAGCUUGGAUCUCAUUCUUUUUUUUAAAGAUAUUUCCAAUGGUGUCAUUAUUCCAGGCCGUGGCUUUAUUAGUGAAGUUGUUAAUAGCUGUAGAUAUAUUGAGCUGAUUUGUCUAACAGUCUGUUACCGAACCCUUAAAAGUGGGAUGGGAUAACCACAUGGUUUCUAAUCGAAAUAUAUAAUUAUUUCGACUAGGUCUUUUAAUAAGGUUAAGAUGUAUAGGGCAGUGGCCAGCGUGGGUUCUUAUCAGGUGUUUUACACAAGCUUCAAGAAACAUACUAAUCCAUUCACUAUUGGCUACAAAUCUGUGUAGUCUCUCCAUAAUAGAAGUUUUUUUAUUCCUUUUCCUCUUAUUUAACCAAGUAUAUUUUGUGCCUUUAAACCCCAGGUCUGUAAGAUUCCAGAUAUUCAGGCAAUUAAUAAAUUUUUAGAUUUUAUAGUUAUUGACAGGGAGGCCACCAAAUUGCUCACUUGCUCUAGUGACUUCAUUGAAGUCUCCUUAUACUAACCAAGGUCCUUUGUAAUUACAUGCUACUGUUUUUAGGUUAUUCCAAAGUAUAAUUCUUUCUUCUAGUAAAUUACUAGCAUAGAGCAUAACCAACUUUUAGGAAGAGUUUUACCUUUACCAUGGCGUGGAUCUCUUGGUCAGUACCCCAUAUUUGAUCAACAUUGACUUCAUCGUUGUUCCACAUUAGUGC